GACGAACCGUCCUAACGUUGUUCGGAUUCACUGGGCUUAAAGGGCGCGUAGGCGGCUGCUCAAGUCGGGGGUGAAAUCUUUCAGCUCAACUGGAAAAUAGCCUCCGAUACUGGGCGGCUCGAGGAAGAUAGGGGCACGCGGAACUAAUGGUGGAGCGGUGAAAUGCGUAGAUAUCAUUAGGAACGCCGGUGGCGAAAGCGGCGUGCUGGAUCUUCUCUGACGCUGAGGCGCGAAAGCCAGGGGAGAAAACGGG
This 253-nucleotide ribosomal RNA is filed under the name uncultured bacterium. RNAcentral describes it as "partial 16S ribosomal RNA". It matches the Rfam family "Bacterial small subunit ribosomal RNA", at positions 524 to 776 of the family's 1533-position model. The record is from RNAcentral.